GUCCUACGGGACGCAGCAGUGAGGAAUAUUGGUCAAUGGGCGAGAGCCUGAACCAGCCAAGUCGCGCGAAGGAUGACGGCCCUACGGGUUGUAAACUUCUUUUGUCAGGGAGCAAUUGAGUCCACGUGUGGUCUUAGCGAGAGUACCUGAAGAAAAAGCAUCGGCUAACUCCGUGCCAGCAGCCGCGGUAAUACGGAGGAUGCGAGCGUUAUCCGGAUUUAUUGGGUUUAAAGGGUGCGUAGGCGGAAUAGCAAGUCAGCGGUAAAAAUUCGGGGCUCAACCCCGUCGAGCCGUUGAAGCUGAUG
Molecule: ribosomal RNA, 305 nt
Filed under: uncultured bacterium
Lineage: Bacteria
Description: bacterial SSU rRNA
Rfam family: Bacterial small subunit ribosomal RNA
Source: RNAcentral